AAGAUAUUAGUAAAAUAAUUACAUAACUUUGUCRAAGUUAAUUUAUAGG
Molecule: transfer RNA, 49 nt
Filed under: Sundasciurus altitudinis
Lineage: Eukaryota; Metazoa; Chordata; Mammalia; Rodentia; Sciuridae
Description: partial tRNA-Asp
Source: RNAcentral